CACCUUGGACAAGCUUUGUGUCUGAUCAUUCCACAAAAAAAAACAACUUCGGUUUUGGACUGACUUGUUACCAAAUGCCCACCUAUCCCAGCAGCUACACCUCACUAACCAUACCGAUACCAUGCUCCAAACAGGAGGUUUCAAAACUGGACCGGUCACUGAACCAGCAACAGCCUGUUCAGUGGUUCAACCGGUGGGUCUACCAGUCGGACCACGGUUCUCUAUAUUUUAGGGUAUGCAGAAUCCAACACAUAGAGUACCUGUAGCUGAAUGCAACAAGCAA
Lolium perenne is the source of this 283-nucleotide non-coding RNA. Lineage: Eukaryota; Viridiplantae; Streptophyta; Magnoliopsida; Poales; Poaceae. The record is from RefSeq and is a predicted model, not a curated record.